RNAcentral lists this long non-coding RNA (880 nucleotides) under Homo sapiens (human). RNAcentral describes it as "non-protein coding lnc-KLF8-4:3". Lineage: Eukaryota; Metazoa; Chordata; Mammalia; Primates; Hominidae. The record is from RNAcentral.
ACUAGCAAACAACCUCAGCUUCAUAAAUCCAGCAGAAAGGUCCGGGGUAUUGUUGAAAAGGUCGGAAGGACCAAGAUUAUGUCCGCCAGCCUAAGUGGGACGAACAACCAAGUUGUGCGAUGCAGCUUUAAAGGGGCUGGUGAUUGACAGAAUGGUGUAGUAGUAGAUGGGGUGGAGCCGCUGGGUGGGGUCGAGACUGGCAGCUGAGAGAUACCAAAAGGAAGAAAAAAGAAAACCAUUGCUCUUGAUAUUGCUAAUGCCGGGGGAGGUAAGCUAACGAGAAAGUAGGGAAAAGGAAGGUUUUAGAGUUCACCUCCACUCCUUCCCCUGGCUAACACUCUUUACACUCUUCUGCCUUCCCUUGAGAUAAUUAAAAUAGACUGUACACCGGCCCUAGUCGGUGCCCAUUCCCCCUAACUCUUCACUCAACUACGUGUGUAGUCCGAGGGAGUGAGGACCCCGGGUCCAAGAGCUCAAUCCCGGCCCCGCCCCGUCGGCCCAGGCCCCGGGGCUGGGAGGAGAGGAUGCCUUCGGAGGCGCAGAAUCCGAAAAGAUGUGGUUGGAGCUGGAAGCUGUUAUCCUCAGCAAACUAAUGCAGGAGGAGAAAACCAAAUACUGCAAGUUCUCACUUAUAAGUGGGAACUGAAUGAUGAGAACAUUUGGACAUGGUAAGGGGAGGACAACAUGCAGUGGGGCCUGUUGGGGAGUAUGGCAGGAGGGAAAGCAUCAGGAAAUUCACUAAUAGAUGCUGGGCUUAAUAACUUGAUGAUGGGAUGAUCUGUGCAGCAAACCACCAUGGCACAUGUUUACUAAUGUAACAAACCUGCACAUUCAGCACAUGUACCCCUGAACUUAAAAUAAAGCAAAAUAAAAAUAAAAA